AGUGCAAGGCCUUGUGCCUAGUUGUCAACCAAGAUGCUUUUAGACAGCAAACAAGAUCAUUCAGGGUUUAAAUGUAAGAGACAAUUAGAUCAUCCCUCACCGUCCUUUCCUGCCUUGUCAGCAUUCACCAGGAGAAAAACAAAUUGGAUUGUGUAUUGUUUUUAAAUAUCAUAUAUGCAUGUGUAUGUGCUCAUAUAGAUGAGCACAUACACACUUGAAAUGAGGAAAAGAGAAGCUGUGUGUGAGUCCCAGCAGGAGCAGAGGUGUUCAGCAGAGCAAAGCCAGUACAUGGGACGAUGAGCUGCUGCAGAGUGUCAGCGUCCGGUUGAGCAUUGCAUAAGAAGAUCUAUUACCUCUCAUGAGCAGAAGGGGGUUUGAUCCUUCACACAGCAGUUCCCCAAUAUGUUUAACACUGAUCAGCCAAGAGGAAGACGACGGUUUUCAAUCCCUGCCCCUUGCAUGGUGAAAAGGACAGACUUUUCUCUGUAUGUUCUUUCGGAACCCAGUCAGCUCACACCAAAGGUCUCAGAAGAGCUUGAACUUGCGCAUGCUGGCCUUGGGAAAAGAAUAUUAAGCAUACCAGACAACCUGAAACAUGACGAGAUUGUGGCUCUUCUUGAGGAGGAAUUUCCUAAACUGAAGACCUUACAAGGAGGCUGGAUGUUUUUUAAGUCUACAGGUGGUAGUGGACGUCGCAAGCUGUCCAUAAUACCAACUGAUGCUGAGGGUUACUCCACAAGGCUUCUUAAAUCAGCAUCCCAC
Molecule: long non-coding RNA, 762 nt
Organism: Fundulus heteroclitus (mummichog)
Lineage: Eukaryota; Metazoa; Chordata; Actinopteri; Cyprinodontiformes; Fundulidae
Exons: 4
Source: RefSeq, a predicted model, not a curated record